UCCAGUCUACUGUUGGCUUACUGCUUGCCCACCACCUUGCUGAAAUCCAUCCUUCCUGGUACUUCUAACACCAGUCCUCUCCAGCUGCUCCAGGCAGUGAGCCAGCUGACUGCUUUAUAAUCACACCAUCUACCUCCUUGAAUCACGAAGAUAUGUCAUCUUUUCUGCUACUGCUCUGUGGAUGAAUCCUUAUCCUGUCCAUAAGGCACAUGGAUACAUGGACAGAUGGAUUGCCACUCCAGUGGAUGUCUUGUCCUCAGAGCUGUUGUCAUGGAAACAGUCCUUGAUCACCUUCAGGUCCAACUUUAUGGGAAGGACAGCAGGUUCUAUCCACCACAGCAGCCGUAGCAUGAAUUCAGCAACAGGAUACCACAAAGCAGCUUGGAUGGACUUCAGGGUGAAGAUCAAGGGAGGUAAGAUACCCUGUCAUCAGUAACUGGAGACUGAGAUCCAAAGCAAGAAGCUACUGCUACAGGUAU
Long non-coding RNA from Tyto alba (common barn owl), 479 nucleotides. RefSeq lists it as uncharacterized. The transcript is spliced from 3 exons. NCBI's taxonomy places the organism in Eukaryota, Metazoa, Chordata, Aves, Strigiformes, Tytonidae. The record is from RefSeq and is a predicted model, not a curated record.